CGGAUUUACUUAGUCAUAAAUAAACAUAAAUAUAAUAUUAAUUUGUAAAAGAAUAUACCAGUCAACCAAACGUCAUAUACCCUUUUGGUUCGCUCGGGAAGAAAUGGACUAGUCUCUCAUUGUAAGUGUCCAAACAAAUUCUUUCUCUGGACAGACGACAACCGAUCAUCAGAGUAAAAAAAGGGAACAAAGAAAUGCCCACCAGCAGCUUUCUCAGCCGGAAGAAAGACGCGCGCUUGCCUCGCCCCUGCCCCGUGAUCCUCGACUCGGGCUUCGUCACCGACGACGAGUCCGAGUGCUGCGUCGGCGGCGCCGCUAGCCACUCCCCUCCCCAGCCGCACACUUCCACCUCCUUCCAAGUCGAGGUCCGCCCCGGUUUGCUCCCUGCUCCCAUCCGACCUGACGAUUCCCUCGGCCCUGACGAUCCCGUCAUCGCCCCCUAUGCCGACUUCGUCCACUUCACGCAGUGCCCCGAGGUCCCCCGGAAGCUGGCGGGUCGCGACGAGAUCCGGAGCCAGUCGUGGCCUCUCCCAGCGCCCGAGGAGAUGUCGUCCAAGACGCAGCAAGUAUCGCUCAAGUCGUCGUCCAUCCCCGCCGUCUUCUUCGCCAAGCGCCACCGCUUCACCAUCUUCAACUAUGGCGAUCUGCUGGAGACGUCCGGGGACUGCAACUCUUGCACCGUCGCCGUUGCCGCGGGCGACCGGGAGGACGAGGAGAUCGCCCGCUUCACCGAGCUUAGCAGCAAGGUGGACUACUGCAUCCGGGUGAAGAACUCGUACCAGUUCUCCAACGAGAUUGGAACCGACCCCGAGGGAGUGUUCCGCGACUGCAAGCCCCGGAUCUGUGCCGUCUGCUCCGUCAAGACCAAGGCCUCGCUCCUGCCCGACUUGCGCCACAAGUACCGCUUCACGUUCUUCCACACCAUCCACGUCUACUCCCCGACUGGCGCCGAGGUGGAGAGCAAAGUCGUCCUGGACGAAAAGUCCAAGAUCGAGCCCGUCUCCAUCAUGAAGAUCUGUCCCACGGGCCGCAAGAUGGAGAAGCUCAAGCCUGAGAUUGUGACGCUGCUACAGGUGACGCACUUCGUGAGGGUUGAGACGAGCGUCAACACCGAUAUCUCGCCAUCUAUGAUGCCGCGUCCACUGGCUCCCGAGUUUCGAGAGCCCAAGCUGAUAAUUAUCGACGAGGACGUGCACGGGAAAGCACCUCCAGGACCGCCACCUGAGCCCGAGCCAGAACCAGAGCCAAAAGCCGUGGAACCGCCCAAGAGACCCAGCAGAUCCGAGCCAGCAGGUAAUGCCACCCCACCAAUAUGCUGCCGUUUGUACUCAUCGUUUCCUUGCAGGGGACCAAGAACAAGAGCAAGCUGCCGAAUAGUCGAAAAUAUUAGCUCAAACUCUUAGUAUCAUAACGAGACAAACCUCUCUUGGCGGACGAACUUGUGCUCAGAGACAGCAACGCAAAGAGUCGCUGCCGAGUUUAGCUCGUGACACACACUCCACGCUCCUGCAGUCAUUCAGGACCUGUAAAUCGGAGCAAAAGAGUGUAAGUCCACAGCAGUACAUGUAACUUUGAAGCGCGCUCACAUAUUUCAUGCAUGCUCCCGUGUCCGCCAGUUGUCGAGCCAGCUUUACUCGUCACCAACAUCCCAUGAUGUAGAACUACAAGUCGCAUAGUUCAAUCAUCGGAUCUCUAUGAGGUGACAGCUCCCAGAAUGCCGCGUGCUUUGUCCUGCUUCACCUUGUCCAUAGUCUCCAUGGCUACGUAGAGCGGAACAUAUAUAAAUAUGGUGACUUGAGAGCGCUGUGACCUCGCUUGAGUGAGAAGAAUGUCAAUCCGGGGGAUGGUCCUGAUAACUAUUGCCGUCUGCAUCGGUCUGGUACACGGGCAAAGUGCAUCGAGUCUCGCAGGCAGCUUCCCGUCCACCACAUUCGAGCAGACUUGCGCUGCAUCCUGGGGGCAGCCGAAUUCCCAAGGAAGUGUCAUCCAGCUGAAACUUGACCAAGCAUCA
RNAcentral lists this long non-coding RNA (2011 nucleotides) under Selaginella moellendorffii. Its description in RNAcentral is "long non-coding RNA (SMOE_LNC001494)". The record is from RNAcentral. Lineage: Eukaryota; Viridiplantae; Streptophyta; Lycopodiopsida; Selaginellales; Selaginellaceae.